CACGAAGCUCAUUGAGCUAGCUAUUAUAUGAGAUUGGUUAGAAGUAUGUUGCAUAAUAUUUGAUUAAUAAUAGCUAGGGGUGAAAGGCUACUCAAAUUGAGUGAUAACUUGUUUCUUUUUAAAUAUAUUAAGUAUGAGGACAGGCUUGAAGUUAUAAGAUUUUGAGUUAGAACGAAAGGAUAUUAUGAGGCUUAUAUAAAGUUUAACAACGAAUAUGAUAGAAGCUGAAUAUUAAUUUAUAAAAAAAUGUUAUUACUAAAGAGAAAUAGGAUAAUUUGAAGUACUAUUUAUUCUGUUAAUAUGAGUAUCGUUAAAGGUAAGAGUAAUGAACUCGGCAAAUUGUACUUUCAACUGUUUAUCAAAAACAUAGCCUGCUGUUAGUAUGGUCGGUAAUUUCUGCUCAGUGAUUAUUUAAACAGCCGCAGUACUCUGACUGUGCAAAGGUAGCGCAAUCAAUUGACUUUUAAUUGAAGUCCUGUAUGAAGAAUAUAUGGGGGUUAACUGUAUCAUUUUUAUUAAUAAAAAUUACUUAGUAGGUGCAAAGACCUAUAGGAAAAUAAUAGACGAGAAGACCCUUGAAAUUUUAAGAAUUGUGUUAGAGAGGCUUUUUGUUGGGGCAACAAAGUAGUGUAAUGUAAACCUACAAGAUAUACAUGAAAUUGUUUAGAACGAUGAAAUUACUCUAGGGAUAACAGCAUAAUUUAUAAAAGUUUGUGACCUCGAUGUUGGACUAGGAAGUUGGUGUUAGAA
This 750-nucleotide ribosomal RNA is filed under the name Baudinella occidentalis. Its description in RNAcentral is "partial 16S ribosomal RNA". The stretch from base 309 to 550 matches the Rfam family "Archaeal large subunit ribosomal RNA", at positions 1784 to 2143 of the family's 2987-position model. Lineage: Eukaryota; Metazoa; Mollusca; Gastropoda; Stylommatophora; Camaenidae. The record is from RNAcentral.